AGUGAACGCUGGCGGUAGGCCUAACACAUGCAAGUCGAACGGCAGCACAGUAAGAGCUUGCUCUUACGGGUGGCGAGUGGCGGACGGGUGAGGAAUACAUCGGAAUCUACUUUUUCGUGGGGGAUAACGUAGGGAAACUUACGCUAAUACCGCAUACGACCUACGGGUGAAAGCAGGGGAUCUUCGGACCUUGCGCGAUUGAAUGAGCCGAUGUCGGAUUAGCUAGUUGGCGGGGUAAAGGCCCACCAAGGCGACGAUCCGUAGCUGGUCUGAGAGGAUGAUCAGCCACACUGGAACUGAGACACGGUCCAGACUCCUACGGGAGGCAGCAGUGGGGAAUAUUGGACAAUGGGCGAAAGCCUGACGCAGCCAUACCGCGUGGGUGAAGAAGGCCUUCGGGUUGUAAAGCCCUUUUGUUGGGAAAGAAAAGCAGCAGGUUAAUAACCCGCUGUUCUGACGGUACCCAAAGAAUAAGCACCGGCUAACUUCGUG
RNAcentral lists this ribosomal RNA (492 nucleotides) under uncultured bacterium. RNAcentral describes it as "partial 16S ribosomal RNA". It matches the Rfam family "Bacterial small subunit ribosomal RNA", at positions 29 to 507 of the family's 1533-position model. The record is from RNAcentral.